GUCUACGGCAAUAUCACCUGGAACGUGCCUGACCUCAGAAGCUAAAGGAGUUGAAUCUGAUCAGUCGUUGGAUUUGGAGACUGUUUGGGAGUCCUGGGUGCUGUUGGAA
RNAcentral lists this ribosomal RNA (109 nucleotides) under Procavia capensis (Cape rock hyrax). Lineage: Eukaryota; Metazoa; Chordata; Mammalia; Hyracoidea; Procaviidae. The record is from RNAcentral.